GCGUUCGUGCGGGCAUUGAUCGUCGCAUCCCACUCGUGACCGCACCCGCCGCACUUCCACGGCACCUUCUCGCUUGAGCCCGGCGCGAAGUCCUUCAUCCGUUUCGUCGGAUGCGCCCACUCCCUUGGCAGAUGAUCCAGUCGCCCGUCGCUCUGCGCGCAGUGCACCUCGAGGUCGUGCAGGUGGCGACCCGCGCACUUCGGGCACCCGCUGGGGUGCGUGGCGUUCGUGCGGUGAGAGAUCGUCGCAUCCCACUCGUGACCGCACCCGCCGCACUUCCACGGCACCUUCUCGUUUGAGCCCGGCGCGAAGUCCUUUAUGCUCUUCGUCGGAUGCGCCCACUCCCCUGGCAGAUGAUCCAGUCGCCCGUCGCUCUGCGCGCAGUGCACCUCGAGGUCGUGCAGGUGGCGACCCGCGCACUUCGGGCACCCGCUGGGGUGCGUGGCGUUCGUGCGGGUAUGGAUCUUCGCAUCCCACUCGUGACCGCACCCGCCACACUUCCACGGAACCUUCUCGUUGGAGCGCGGCGUGAAGUCCUUCAUGCGCUUCGUCGGAUGCGCCCACUCCCCUAUCAAGUGUUCGAAUCUUCCAUCGCUCUCCUUGCAAGUCAGCUCGAGGCUGUGAAACCACGAAGGCACUUUACCGGCGCACCC
RNAcentral lists this long non-coding RNA (653 nucleotides) under Micromonas pusilla. RNAcentral's name for it is "long non-coding RNA (MPUS_LNC000127)". Lineage: Eukaryota; Viridiplantae; Chlorophyta; Mamiellophyceae; Mamiellales; Mamiellaceae. The record is from RNAcentral.